GACGAACGCUGGCGGCGUGCUUAACACAUGCCAGUCGAACGGAAGGGCCCUGCUUUUGUGGGGUGCUCGAGUGGCGAACGGGUGAGUAACACGUGAGUAACCUGCCCUUGACUUUGGGAUAACUUCAGGAAACUGGGGCUAAUACCGGAUAGGAGCUCCUGCUGCAUGGUGGGGGUUGGAAAGUUUCGGCGGUUGGGGAUGGACUCGCGGCUUAUCAGCUUGUUGGUGGGGUAGUGGCUUACCAAGGCUUUGACGGGUAGCCGGCCUGAGAGGGUGACCGGCCACAUUGGGACUGAGAUACGGCCCAGACUCCUACGGGAGGCAGCAGUGGGGAAUAUUGCACAAUGGGCGGGAGCCUGAUGCAGCAACGCCGCGUGCGGGAUGACGGCCUUCGGGUUGUAAACCGCUUUCGCCUGUGACGAAGCGUGAGUGACGGUAAUGGGUAAAGAAGCACCGGCUAACUACGUG
RNAcentral lists this ribosomal RNA (468 nucleotides) under uncultured bacterium. RNAcentral describes it as "partial 16S ribosomal RNA". It matches the Rfam family "Bacterial small subunit ribosomal RNA", at positions 28 to 507 of the family's 1533-position model. The record is from RNAcentral.